This is a long non-coding RNA of Zalophus californianus (California sea lion), 630 nucleotides long. RefSeq lists it as uncharacterized. The record is from RefSeq and is a predicted model, not a curated record. The transcript has 3 exons. Lineage: Eukaryota; Metazoa; Chordata; Mammalia; Carnivora; Otariidae.
ACUGCCCGCGGACCCGGAAGGAGCUGGCGACCCCGCCUCUGCCCCCCACCCACAGCACUGUGCCGCGUCCACUAUAGGCGCUCAGUACCUGGGGGCAACGAGACAGACCCGCCGUGGUUCAGGCCUCUGGGGACUCGAAUCCCAAGCGGAACCUGGCGAGAGCACGUCCGCUCAGAGAGGACCGCGCGCCUAGCAGUGACCCUCCUCAGGGCUCCUGACUUGGUGCUGACGACUCUCCUGAACUCCAGGCCCCCUUUUGGACAUCUGAGACACAUCUCCACGAGUAUCGAGAACUGUACUUGACCCACUCCAGACCACCACCCUGAUCCUGUUGUAGAUUUCAAAAGACUAGAAGAAAUAGUAAGUAAAUGCAAUGCAAAAUAAAAAUAAGUAUAACAAGACACUUGGAGAACAACUGGGAAAAGUAGAACGGGUCAUGAUCCUAGAUGCUGUUAUGGAAUGAUUGUUCACUUUGGGCCUGAUGCUGGCCUUGAGCCGUGGAGAGUGUUGGUUUUUCUUAGAGAGGCAAGCUGGCAGGUAUUUAGACAUGAGGUGUCAUGAGGAGGCCUGCAGCUAUUAAAUCAGGUGGUUUUUAUAAACGAGAGCGCAAGUAAAGGUGCAAAAGGUGAA